AAACAUAUGGGGCGGCACCUAGGGUUGAGAGCCUCUAUAAAAGGGUGGCCGCCCAAGAUUUUGUAGAGCUCUCUCAUGCCUCAAUAACCUCCAUGCCCAAGCCUCCUCUCCUCCUCCCCCAUGCCCCAAAGCCCUUCUUCCUCCUCUUAUGUGCUCAAAUUUCAGCAAGAGAGAUCUUAAAGGUGCUUUGGUCCUGCUGUAGUUCUCAAGGAGCUGAGAACCUUUCUUUCGUCAAGCAAAGGCUCUGCAAGGAAGCUAGCACCCCGGAGAGCCAAGAAGUUGCUAAUCAGCCAUCCAUCUCCGUAUAGAUACCUGUAGAGGCCAGGUACUUUCACGGCUUCAGAAGAACCAAAGGUUUAAGGAUCAUCUACUGGUGAAAGACAUUUGAAGCUGGAUAGAUAUUACCUUCUGCAUCUGGCAUUGCGGUGGUGAAUUUGGCAUUCAUACUGGAAACUGAAUCCACACCAAUUUCGGUAUCUGACCCCGAGGAGCUAAAUUUCUUGCGAACACUUGAAUCCGGAUUACUACUGCCUUCUGUAGCAGGACAUGGAAAGCUAUCCUCGGUGGCAACACUUGGAGCUGGACGAAUGAUGCCUACUGUAGCUGGCUCCUCAGAGUUUAACUCCACCAAGAUACUUGGGGCUGAACCAGUAAUGCUUUCUAUAGCUGGCCCUAUGGAGCUGAAGAACGUUUGAGGAAAUCUUUAAAGGUUUAUCUUGGAUUUGGCAUGCAGUGUAUCUUCUUGAAGUGCAGGUUUCUAAGAUCACUACUGAAACAACAUGAUCUCUCUCUGACCUGAUCAUGGGUUUAUUUAUAUUCAGAUAAUAAACAGCAGAGUCUAAGAAAUAAAAUAUAUAUAAGAUCAAAUGAGGUUCUUCCUGUGUAGUUUUUGGUUUAUUCUGACUCCCUAGAAAUUUAAAUAUAUGCAAAUUCUAAUUGUUUGACUUAAAUCUAGUAGAAAUACUAAUUGUACCAUAAAAAGAUAGAUCAAGUGCAUUAUUCCGUGUCAAAAGAAGAUCCAAAGAUUCAAAGGAGAUCAAACAUUGUCUUUGCCAUUCUAGAUACAGUUACUUUUCUUUCAUUCUUAAAGGCAAACUGCCCUUCUAAUCGAAUGAGGCUCGCCAUGACACUCUGGCUGAUUCUAUUGGAUCUUCUUACCAUUUAUGCUUGUCUUCAGAAGAUCAUGGCUCAUUUGAAAUGACUCUAGGCAAAAAGGAUAGGUGCAUUUCAGCCCAAGAAACCAACAAGUAAAGUGAAAAACUGUUGCAGAGGAAAUCAAAAAAGUAAUUUACCUUUCCAAUCCUCAAAUAUGUGAAAGUUAGCUGCAAAGCCAAUCUUCUCUUCAAUCAGUUUAUCUAAUGAGUGGAGAUGUAUAUUCUUCAACCUUUUCACUAGUUUAUAAAGACCUAUCCCACUCUCCAAGAAAAUAUGAUUAUUUUGGUUUCUU
Molecule: long non-coding RNA, 1447 nt
Organism: Elaeis guineensis (African oil palm)
Lineage: Eukaryota; Viridiplantae; Streptophyta; Magnoliopsida; Arecales; Arecaceae
Source: RefSeq, a predicted model, not a curated record